Molecule: ribosomal RNA, 1372 nt
Filed under: uncultured bacterium
Lineage: Bacteria
Description: bacterial SSU rRNA
Rfam family: Bacterial small subunit ribosomal RNA
Source: RNAcentral
GAUGAACGCUGGCGGCGUGCCUAAUACAUGCAAGUCGAACGAACGGACGAGAAGCUUGCUUCUCCGAUGUUAGCGGCGGACGGGUGAGUAACACGUGGAUAACCUACCUAUAAGACUGGGAUAACUUCGGGAAACCGGAGCUAAUACCGGAUAAUAUUUUGAACCGCAUGGUUCAAAAGUGAAAGACGGUCUUGCUGUCACUUAUAGAUGGAUCCGCGCUGCAUUAGCUAGUUGGUAAGGUAACGGCUUACCAAGGCAACGAUGCAUAGCCGACCUGAGAGGGUGAUCGGCCACACUGGAACUGAGACACGGUCCAGACUCCUACGAGAGGCAGCAGUAGGGAGUCUUCCGCAAUGGGCGAAAGCCUGACGGAGCAACGCCGCGUGAGUGAUGAAGGUCUUCGGAUCGUAAAACUCUGUUAUUAGGGAAGAACAUAUGUGUAAGUAACUGUGCACAUCUUGACGGUACCUAAUCAGAAAGCCACGGCUAACUACGUGCCAGCAGCCGCGGUAAUACGUAGGUGGCAAGCGUUAUCCGGAAUUAUUGGGCGUAAAGCGCGCGUAGGCGGUUUUUUAAGUCUGAUGUGAAAGCCCACGGCUCAACCGUGGAGGGUCAUUGGAAACUGGAAAACUUGAGUGCAGAAGAGGAAAGUGGAAUUCCAUGUGUAGCGGUGAAAUGCGCAGAGAUAUGGAGGAACACCAGUGGCGAAGGCGACUUUCUGGUCUGUAACUGACGCUGAUGUGCGAAAGCGUGGGGAUCAAACAGGAUUAGAUACCCUGGUAGUCCACGCCGUAAACGAUGAGUGCUAAGUGUUAGGGGGUUUCCGCCCCUUAGUGCUGCAGCUAACGCAUUAAGCACUCCGCCUGGGGAGUACGACCGCAAGGUUGAAACUCAAAGGAAUUGACGGGGACCCGCACAAGCGGUGGAGCAUGUGGUUUAAUUCGAAGCAACGCGAAGAACCUUACCAAAUCUUGACAUCCUUUGACAACUCUAGAGAUAGAGCCUUCCCCUUCGGGGGACAAAGUGACAGGUGGUGCAUGGUUGUCGUCAGCUCGUGUCGUGAGAUGUUGGGUUAAGUCCCGCAACGAGCGCAACCCUUAAGCUUAGUUGCCAUCAUUAAGUUGGGCACUCUAAGUUGACUGCCGGUGACAAACCGGAGGAAGGUGGGGAUGACGUCAAAUCAUCAUGCCCCUUAUGAUUUGGGCUACACACGUGCUACAAUGGACAAUACAAAGGGCAGCGAAACCGCGAGGUCAAGCAAAUCCCAUAAAGUUGUUCUCAGUUCGGAUUGUAGUCUGCAACUCGACUACAUGAAGCUGGAAUCGCUAGUAAUCGUAGAUCAGCAUGCUACGGUGAAUACGUUCCCGGGUCU